AUUGAACGCUGGCGGCAGGCCUAACACAUGCAAGUCGAGCGGAUGAAGGGAGCUUGCUCCUGGAUUCAGCGGCGGACGGGUGAGUAAUGCCUAGGAAUCUGCCUGGUAGUGGGGGAUAACGUCCGGAAACGGGCGCUAAUACCGCAUACGUCCUGAGGGAGAAAGUGGGGGAUCUUCGGACCUCACGCUAUCAGAUGAGCCUAGGUCGGAUUAGCUAGUUGGUGGGGUAAAGGCCUACCAAGGCGACGAUCCGUAACUGGUCUGAGAGGAUGAUCAGUCACACUGGAACUGAGACACGGUCCAGACUCCUACGGGAGGCAGCAGUGGGGAAUAUUGGACAAUGGGCGAAAACCUGAUCCAGCCAUGCCGCGUGUGUGAAGAAGGUCUUCGGAUUGUAAAGCACUUUAAGUUGGGAGGAGGGGCAGUAAGUUAAUACCUUGCUGUUUUGACGUUACCAACAGAAUAAGCACCGGCUAACUUCGUG
This 484-nucleotide ribosomal RNA is filed under the name uncultured bacterium. Its description in RNAcentral is "partial 16S ribosomal RNA". It matches the Rfam family "Bacterial small subunit ribosomal RNA", at positions 30 to 507 of the family's 1533-position model. The record is from RNAcentral.